AUACGGAGGGUGCAAGCGUUAAUCGGAAUAACUGGGCGUAAAGCGCACGCAGGCGGUUGGAUAAGUCAGAUGUGAAAUCCCCGGGCUCAACCUGGGAACUGCAUUUGAAACUGUCUGACUAGAGUCUUGUAGAGGGGGGUAGAAUUCCAGGUGUAGCGGUGAAAUGCGUAGAGAUCUGGAGGAAUACCGGUGGCGAAGGCGGCCCCCUGGACAAAGACCGACGCUCAGGUGCGAAAUCGUGGGGAGC
This 247-nucleotide ribosomal RNA is filed under the name uncultured bacterium. Its description in RNAcentral is "partial 16S ribosomal RNA". It matches the Rfam family "Bacterial small subunit ribosomal RNA", at positions 523 to 769 of the family's 1533-position model. The record is from RNAcentral.